Molecule: ribosomal RNA, 300 nt
Filed under: Triticum aestivum (bread wheat)
Lineage: Eukaryota; Viridiplantae; Streptophyta; Magnoliopsida; Poales; Poaceae
Description: partial small subunit ribosomal RNA
Source: RNAcentral
AUGAUCUCACUGCUACGAUUAGUUACUACAUCAUUUCUAAUUCUUUAUGUCAAAUGUCAUAAAUUGAUCCUUCGCUUAUGUGUAUUAUUUUUAUCACUAAUUAUUUUUCAGGUACAAGGGCUACAAUAUCAUUUGGACAUUCUGAAAAGUGAAAAUUUAAUUAGUCCUAAUUGGAAAGACUUUGAUGUUAGUAAAUGGAAGAUAGUAGAACAACUACAGCAGCCAAUUCAAAAAGAUAGGUAUAAAGUGACACAUAUGUUCUGUAACAAUAUAAGUAAUAUUGUGAUCCAUUUAGAGUAA